RNAcentral lists this ribosomal RNA (433 nucleotides) under uncultured bacterium. Its description in RNAcentral is "partial 16S ribosomal RNA". It matches the Rfam family "Bacterial small subunit ribosomal RNA", at positions 29 to 507 of the family's 1533-position model. The record is from RNAcentral.
AGCGAACGCUGGCGGCAGGCCUAACACAUGCAAGUCGAACGAACUCUUCGGAGUUAGUGGCGGACGGGUGAGUAACACGUGGGAACGUGCCUUUUGGUUCGGAAUAACUCAGGGAAACUUGUGCUAAUACCGAAUGUGCCCUUCGGGGGAAAGAUUUAUCGCCAUUAGAGCGGCCCGCGUCUGAUUAGCUAGUUGGUGAGGUAACGGCUCACCAAGGCGACGAUCAGUAGCUGGUCUGAGAGGAUGACCAGCCACACUGGGACUGAGACACGGCCCAGACUCCUACGGGAGGCAGCAGUGGGGAAUCUUGCGCAAUGGGCGAAAGCCUGACGCAGCCAUGCCGCGUGAAUGAUGAAGGUCUGAGGAUUGUAAAAUUCUUUCACCGGGGACGAUAAUGACGGUACCCGGAGAAGAAGCCCCGGCUAACUUCGUG